This 425-nucleotide ribosomal RNA is filed under the name uncultured bacterium. RNAcentral's name for it is "partial 16S ribosomal RNA". It matches the Rfam family "Bacterial small subunit ribosomal RNA", at positions 354 to 796 of the family's 1533-position model. The record is from RNAcentral.
GUUAGGAAUAUUGGACAAUGGGCGCAAGCCUGAUCCAGCCAUGCCGCGUGAGUGAUGAAGGCCUUCGGGUUGUAAAGCUCUUUAGCCGAUGAUUAUAAUGACUGUAGUCGGAAAAUAAGCCCCGGCUAACUUCGUGCCAGCAGCCGCGGUAAUACGAAGGGGGCGAGCGUUAUUCGGAAUCACUGGGCGUAAAGCGUGCGUAGGCGGCUUUGCAAGUUGGGAGUGAAAGCCCAGGGCUCAACCCUGGAAUUUCUCUCAAAACUGCAAGGCUCGAAUUCGGGAGAGGAGAGCGGAAUUGUCAGUGUAGCAGUGAAAUGCGUAGAUAUUGACAGGAACACCAGUGGCGUAAGCGGCUAUCUGGACCGAUAUUGACGCUGAGGCACGAAAGCGUGGGGAUCAAACAGGAUUAGAAACCCCGGUAGUCC